Molecule: non-coding RNA, 99 nt
Organism: Acanthosepion pharaonis
Lineage: Eukaryota; Metazoa; Mollusca; Cephalopoda; Sepiida; Sepiidae
Source: the annotation of a GenBank genome assembly
AUUGAAGCACCAGUUCCCGUACAAUAAUCGAAGUUAAGCAACGUCGACUCUGGUCCGUACUUAGAUGGGUGACAGCUUGGAAAUACCGGGUGCUGUAAG